RNAcentral lists this ribosomal RNA (443 nucleotides) under uncultured bacterium. RNAcentral describes it as "bacterial SSU rRNA". It matches the Rfam family "Bacterial small subunit ribosomal RNA", at positions 338 to 795 of the family's 1533-position model. The record is from RNAcentral.
CCUACGGGGUGCAGCAGUGGGGAAUAUUGCACAAUGGGGGGAACCCUGAUGCAGCAACGCCGCGUGAAGGAUGAAGGUUUUCGGAUCGUAAACUUCUAUCAGUAGGGAAGAAAACAAUGACAGUACCUAACUAAGAAGCCCCGGCUAACUACGUGCCAGCAGCCGCGGUAAUACGUAGGGGGCAAGCGUUAUCCGGAUUUACUGGGUGUAAAGGGUGCGUAGGUGGCAUGGUAAGUUGGAUGUGAAAGCCCAAGGCUCAACCUUGGGAUUGCAUCUAAAACUGCCAAGCUAGAGUGCAGGAGAGGAAAGUGGAAUUCCUAGUGUAGCGGUGAAAUGCGUAGAUAUUAGGAGGAACACCAGUAGCGAAGGCGACUUUCUGGACUGUAACUGACACUGAGGCACGAAAGCGUGGGUAGCAAACAGGAUUAGAUACCCCGGUAGUC